AUUCCAUGAUGAGGACACUUUCGUAAUAAUUCUUUGUACCUUUCCCAUGCCUUAUACAAGGACUCAUCAUCUAUUUGUUGGAAAGUAGUGAUCUCGUUCCUCAACUU
RNAcentral lists this small nucleolar RNA (107 nucleotides) under Gossypium hirsutum (cotton). RNAcentral describes it as "Plant small nucleolar RNA R71". It matches the Rfam family "Plant small nucleolar RNA R71". From Rfam's summary of the family: R71 is a member of the C/D box family of snoRNAs containing the C (UGAUGA) and D (CUGA) box motifs. The record is from Rfam by way of RNAcentral. Lineage: Eukaryota; Viridiplantae; Streptophyta; Magnoliopsida; Malvales; Malvaceae.